UCAGGAGUAUCAGCGAAACAAUGACACAAAUAACGAUGUAUCUGUUACACUUUACUGUCCGGUUUUCUGGCUUGGUUAUUUUACAUAUCCAGGACAGCUGAUGAAAACCUCAACUGCACACUGCUUUAAUUCUACUGUUUCUGUAACAGCUGACUUUUUAACUGUAAGGCUGUGCAAGCUGAGCUUUCACUACAUACCUCUGUAGGUAUUCCUGAGCCACCACUCUCGUUCAGUCUGCGCUGCCCUGCCUCCCUCCAGUUUCCAUGGCCUGAGAUGCAGUCUCCAAACUACAUCGCUUACAAGAAAGCUUCAAACUUUCAGGUUCCAAGUACCUGCCUCUGCUACUUACAAACCUUAAAAGAUUUCAGCCCAAAUUCUGAUCGGUUCCCAUGCUUAAAUUCUGUAUUGUAAUAGGUGCUAAAAGCAGAGGCUGCAUCUGGAAAGCAACAGGCAGCUUGUGUACCCAUAUCUAACUGUACAGGUACAGAUGCUAUGCCAAGACACAAAUUAAGUCAUCUGGGGAUAUUCUGGUUGUUUCACUGUCGAACUGUGCAGCUGUAUGCCCCUCCUACUGACAGCCAUCCUCUCCCUCUUUCCUACUCAUGCUCACACAUGGUGAGCUUCAAACACCCUGCCAUAAAUCAUUUUCCAUAUUCUUUGAGGUAUCUGCUUCCUUCCUUUUCUCAAAUACAAAUGGCAAAGGAUUGACAAUAAUCUGGGAAAAAGAAAAAGAUAAUGUAGCCCACAUUUGUUUUAAAUUUAUUUCACAUUAUUUUGUAAUGUUUUAAGCCCCAUAUGGAACAAUGAGAAGGACAUCUGAAGGAAUUUUCAUCUCAGAUCUGAGUUGCUGCACUACAACCAUGUUAUUCUUCCCUUCUGUUUGCUACAGUAAUUGUUAGGCACCUCAUCCUAUUAAAAUCCCCUCUGCCCAAGGGCCCUUAAUCCCAGGAAGACAUAUACACAGUUUAUGCCCUUCUCAUUUCAGUUGGCAUACUUCUCAUAUUAUUUCUUCAUAGGCCAGAAGUCUGAAGCUUACAGAUCUGUCUGUGCGUUCUCCAGUUCACAAGAUCCUUAUGUGCUGCAAUCAACUUUUUCUUCUUAACCAUCUUCAAUCAAGUAAGUAUUUCACAUCUUCAUUCGUAACUCUACUAUUUGCAUUUUCAUGGUUUGGCUUAUACCAAUUCAUCCAGCUUCUACUGAUGUUAAUCACCAUGCUAUUUUUAAAUGUUGUGCAACAAGGUGAUUUUUAUGUUUUCCUUUAGCAAAGCGCAUUUGUAUUUUCCAUCUACUUUAUCGAAGUGAUCACAAGCAACUAGUUUUCCUGCUUUUGGAAUGAUCUUAGUAAAAUUAAGCCCUGGAUGGGAAGACAUUUGACAGAAAUUUGUAAACUUUUUUUUUUUUUUUUGUAUAUAAAAUGCUGCUGUAACAUUUGCUUUUCUUUUCUUGUUCUUUAUUUAUUGCAGUCUUUGACAUCUGUCCUUG
This 1482-nucleotide long non-coding RNA is filed under the name Gallus gallus (chicken). RNAcentral describes it as "lncRNA (ENSGALG00010025224.1)". Lineage: Eukaryota; Metazoa; Chordata; Aves; Galliformes; Phasianidae. The record is from RNAcentral.